Molecule: transfer RNA, 82 nt
Filed under: Malacoplasma penetrans
Lineage: Bacteria; Bacillati; Mycoplasmatota; Mycoplasmoidales; Mycoplasmoidaceae
Also listed under: 1 other name
Description: Mycoplasma penetrans tRNA-Leu
Rfam family: tRNA
About the family: Transfer RNA (tRNA) molecules are approximately 80 nucleotides in length. Their secondary structure includes four short double-helical elements and three loops (D, anti-codon, and T loops).
Source: RNAcentral
GCACUUAUGGCGGAAUGGCAGACGCGUCAGACUUAGGAUCUGAUUCUUACGAGUGUGGGUUCAAGUCCCUCUAAGUGCACCA